AGUCCGCUUCGGUGGAUGAGUAAAGUGGCGCACGGGUGAGUAACGCGUGGAUAAUCUACCCUUUAGUCUGGAAUAUCUUAUCGAAAGGUGAACUAAUACCGGAUAAUAUCCCGAUUUCUUCGGCGAUCGGGAUCAAAGAAGGCCUCUGCUUGCAAGCUUUCACUGAAGGAUGAGUCCGCGUACCAUUAGCUAGUUGGUAGGGUAAUGGCCUACCAAGGCUACGAUGGUUAGCUGGUCUGAGAGGAUGAUCAGCCACACUGGAACUGAGACACGGUCCAGACUCCUACGGGAGGCAGCAGUGAGGAAUAUUGCGCAAUGGGGGCAACCCUGACGCAGCAACGCCGCGUGAGUGAGGAAGGUUUUCGGACCGUAAAGCUCUGUCGAGCGGGAAGAAAUGCAUGGUGGCUAAUAUCCAUCAUGCUUGACGGUACCGCUAAAGGAAGCACCGGCUAACUCCGUGCCAGCAGCCGCGGUAAUACGGGGGGUGCAAGCGUUGUUCGGAAUUAUUGGGCGUAAAGCGCGUGUAGGCGGCUGAAUAAGUCAGAUGUGAAAUCCCUGGGCUUAACCCAGGACGUGCAUUUGAAACUAUUCAGCUUGAGUAGGGGAGAGGAAA
RNAcentral lists this ribosomal RNA (613 nucleotides) under uncultured Syntrophaceae bacterium. RNAcentral describes it as "bacterial SSU rRNA". It matches the Rfam family "Bacterial small subunit ribosomal RNA", at positions 72 to 660 of the family's 1533-position model. The record is from RNAcentral. Lineage: Bacteria; Pseudomonadati; Thermodesulfobacteriota; Syntrophia; Syntrophales; Syntrophaceae.